Molecule: ribosomal RNA, 418 nt
Filed under: uncultured Geobacteraceae bacterium
Lineage: Bacteria; Pseudomonadati; Thermodesulfobacteriota; Desulfuromonadia; Geobacterales; Geobacteraceae
Description: partial 16S ribosomal RNA
Rfam family: Bacterial small subunit ribosomal RNA
Source: RNAcentral
CCUACGGGAGGCAGCAGUGGGGAAUUUUGCGCAAUGGGGGCAACCCUGACGCAGCAACGCCGCGUGAGUGAUGAAGGCCUUCGGGUCGUAAAGCUCUGUCAGAGGGGAAGAAAUGCAGGUGGUGAACAACCAUUCUGUUUGACGGUACCCUCAAAGGAAGCACCGGCUAACUCCGUGCCAGCAGCCGCGGUAAUACGGAGGGUGCGAGCGUUGUUCGGAAUUAUUGGGCGUAAAGCGCGUGUAGGCGGUUUGUUAAGUCGGAGGUAAAAGCCCCGGGCUCAACCGGGGAAGUGCAUUGGAUACUGGCAGACUGAAGUACGGAAGAGGGGAGUGGAAUCCCCAGUGUAGGAGUAAAAUCCGUAGAUAUGGGGAGGAACACCGGUGGCGAGGGCGGCUCCCGGGACCGAUACUGACGCUG